Molecule: ribosomal RNA, 484 nt
Filed under: uncultured bacterium
Lineage: Bacteria
Description: partial 16S ribosomal RNA
Rfam family: Bacterial small subunit ribosomal RNA
Source: RNAcentral
AUUGAACGCUGGCGGCAUGCUUUACACAUGCAAGUCGAACGGCAGCGCGGGCUUCGGCCUGGCGGCUAGUGGCGAACGGGUGAGUAAUGCAUCGGAACGUUCCCAGUAGUGUGGGAUAGCCCGGCGAAAGCCGGAUUAAUACCGCAUACGACCUGAGGUUGAAAGCGGGGGACCGAAAGGCCUCGCGCUAUUGGAGCGGCCGAUGUCGGAUUAGCUAGUUGGUGGGGUAAAGGCUUACCAAGGCGACGAUCCGUAGCUGGUCUGAGAGGCCGACCAGCCACCCUGGGAGUGGGCAACGGCCCAGACUCCUACGGGAGGCAGCAGUGGGGAAUUUUGGACAAUGGGGGCAACCCUGCUCCAGCCAUGCCGCGAGCGGGAAGAGGGCCUUCGGGUGGUAAAACGCUUUUGUUCGGGAAGAAAUCGUCUGGGCUAAUACCCCCGGGGGAUGACGGUACCGGAAGAAUAAGCACCGGCUAACUACUUG